GAUGAACGCUGGCGGCGUGCCUAAUACAUGCAAGUCGAGCGAACAGACGAGGAGCUUGCUCCUCUGACGUUAGCGGCGGACGGGUGAGUAACACGUGGAUAACCUACCUAUAAGACUGGGAUAACUUCGGGAAACCGGAGCUAAUACCGGAUAACAUGUUGAACCGCAUGGUUCAACAGUGAAAGACGGUCUUGCUGUCACUUAUAGAUGGAUCCGCGCCGCAUUAGCUAGUUGGUAAGGUAACGGCUUACCAAGGCAACGAUGCGUAGCCGACCUGAGAGGGGGAUAGGCCACACGGGAACUGAGACACGGUCCAGACUCCUACGGGAGGCAGCAGUAGGGAAUGUGCCGCAAUGGGCGAAAGCCUGACGGAGCAACGCCGCGUGAGUGAUGAAGGUCUUCGGAUCGUAAAACUCUGUUAUUAGGGAAGAACAAAUGUGUAAGUAACUAUGCACGUCGUGACGGUACCUAAUCAGAAAGCCACGGCUAACUACGUG
This 497-nucleotide ribosomal RNA is filed under the name uncultured bacterium. RNAcentral's name for it is "partial 16S ribosomal RNA". It matches the Rfam family "Bacterial small subunit ribosomal RNA", at positions 28 to 507 of the family's 1533-position model. The record is from RNAcentral.